Molecule: long non-coding RNA, 2388 nt
Filed under: Actinidia chinensis (golden kiwifruit)
Lineage: Eukaryota; Viridiplantae; Streptophyta; Magnoliopsida; Ericales; Actinidiaceae
Description: long non-coding RNA (ACHI_LNC007599)
Source: RNAcentral
AAGGAACAAAAACGGAUAGACUUAUUUUUUGUGCAUCGACUCCACCUGAACUGGAAAACAUAAACGACGAGAUUUUCAUUAAAUUCAACGAAUCAUUUUGACCAAUAAAAAUUAAGAACUCCCGGGCCUGCACAAAAUUUAGGAGACAUUUAAAUACACUUGCUUACAAUUCUGAAUGCAUAAAGCCCCAUAAUGGUUCGGGUGAUGAUAAAGCCACGACUCAAGCGGACGCAACUAAAACAAGGUAUAGGAAGUAAAAGACAAAAAUAACCCUGUAAGGUGGAUCCUUACAAUAACACAAAUGAAGAUGUUACGGCUUUAUCGGGGAAGUGAUGAUAUAUUUCAAGGCCAACUGUAGCGCAGACUUUAUCCUCUUCCCGCACAUAAGCAAGUGCUUCACCAAAUUGUAGUUUAUUUCCUUUUUGUUCUCUCCUAUGUACAAAAAAGAAGUAUAGAAGUAAAAUACAAAAAUACCCCUACCAGAGUAAACGGUAUAGAUCCAAUAACUCUCGCCAUGACAUUAACACCGGCCGUUGAAGGUUACAUUUCCCACAGGGCAAGGAGGCUGCGGCAACAAAGCCAAACACUUGUAAACUGAAAAGAACUUCUAUUCAUAGGUUCCACCACUUGCGCUUCUCCAUUGUCUUGACAAGUUCCAUUUGCCAUAUCUGCGAAGUUUUGUGCACCACUUUGCAGCUCUUCAGUGCGCCGGCUUAGUUGCUGGUAGAAAUAGCAUGAAAAACAUAUGGUCGAGACCAUGGAUAGUCAACUGUUGAGUCCAGCCCUCUGAUGAGUCCAAGCCCAUUUGGAUGAUUCCAAGUCCAGUAGUCAAGUCCAAACCCGAUUGGAGUUUAUAUGGAUUCCUGUACGGUGAAACUCUCGAGUUAUCUAGAACUCUUGGAGAGUCCCUUUAUCUUUUUGUUUUCUAGAUGGAUUAGGAUAAUGAUUAGGUUUUCUGGUAUGAGUCAACACCUCCUCCCUUGGUUAUAAAGGGAUGGUAUGGUGCUUAGAUUUUCUAUGUGACAUGCGUUGUGUUGUGGGCUGAGGGAAGAUUGCUGUUGAGGUGAGAUAGAGGCAAGACAGAGAGAGAUUGUGAGAGAGACGGGUGUGAGUUGAGCGAUCGAGUCUCCUCCGUUUGUAACCCACAUUCGUUUGAUAGUGGAUUGGUGACCUCCGUUGUAAUUCCAUUCGUUUGAUAUGGACUGGUGAUUCUCUACGGGACGUAGGCAUUGUUGCCGAAACACGUAAAUCUUUAUUGUCUUGUGUGAGUGUGUGGAUCCAUAAUUGGUUUUGAGACAACAUCAACUAGUUGCCUAUAUGCCAAGGAUAGAGAUACUCUAAACUUUACAACACAAAAGAACCUAAAAUGUCCUUUAAUAGUCAAUUUUUCUUGUGCCUUUUGCUCGUUGUCCAGAGUCAUGUUGCGAAACUUCAAUAGAAGCCAAUCUAACAAAACUAAGUUUAUUAAAUGUUAUUUUUUCCAUAUUAUCAUAUUAUAACUACCAAAUGAACUAAUAUCCAUAUUAUUCUCCUCUCAAAUCAACAUAGAUUUAUGACACAUAAAAAAAUGGAAGGAUGUAUUUUAGAUAUCUAGCACCUCAUAUGACUGUGUUUAGGUAAAAGAAAUAAGGAAAAAGGGGACAAGCAUGCACUGUACGUAGGGAAUAGGAUACUAUGUAAAAAUGUUAACCACCAACUCAUCUAAAAGUUUUAAGCUAUUAGAAAGAAUGACAACUUUAUUAUUUAUAUUAUUGCCAACACAUGAUGAUAGGUCAAACCUACACUAUAUGGACAUGACAACUAUAAUGACGAGACGUCAGUAUUUAUAACUCACCAUAAUAAAAGUCAUAAUGAAAGAAGUCGCGAAGGUAGGAAAUUAAUCAAGUAUGCGAUCGGUAAGAAUCUCAAGGGAAACAAAUUCAACUCUUAAACAAUAUACACACAUACAUACACACAUACAUACAUAUAUAUAGAGAGAGAGGGGGGGAGAGAAACGAAGUUGAAAAAUGUCAAAACCUAGUACUAGUUAAUAUUUUAAGAACUUAAUUAUUAUUUUCGUAUAAUUAUUUGAUUGUCUUUGUGUAGGCACCUAUUUUCGAUCUGCUUAUCCAGGUCAUUAAUCACUUAAAAUUAGAAAAAACCCAAUUAAUAAACAUAACCUGACGCAAAAGAAUAGAGUUAAGCGGAAACAUUUUUCUUUCAUUGAUAUUUUUGACGUUUAGAGCCCCUGAUUACAUGAAGAAAUGAUACGAGCAUAUUACGAGAGUUUGAAUCCUUUACCUAUAACAUGACAUCCCUACAGUGCAAACCUUUUCGAAAGAUGUCUCUCGAACUUCAGACAAACAAACUUGAAUGAUUGCAAAUUGUAAGUUUUGUGUGGCUCUCGAG